This 253-nucleotide ribosomal RNA is filed under the name uncultured bacterium. RNAcentral's name for it is "partial 16S ribosomal RNA". It matches the Rfam family "Bacterial small subunit ribosomal RNA", at positions 524 to 776 of the family's 1533-position model. The record is from RNAcentral.
GACGGAGGGUGCAAGCGUUGUUCGGAAUUACUGGGCGUAAAGCGCACGUAGGCGGACUCUUAAGUCGGUGGUGAAAUCCUGGAGCUCAACUCCAGAACUGCCUUCGAUACUGAGAGUCUUGAGUCCGGGAGAGGUGAGUGGAACUGCGAGUGUAGAGGUGAAAUUCGUAGAUAUUCGCAAGAACACCAGUGGCGAAGGCGGCUCACUGGCCCGGUACUGACGCUGAGGUGCGAAAGCGUGGGGAGCAAACAGG